AUUGAACGCUGGCGGAAUGCUUUACACAUGCAAGUCGAACGGCAGCACGGACUUCGGUCUGGUGGCGAGUGGCGAACGGGUGAGUAAUACAUCGGAACGUGCCCAGUCGUGGGGGAUAACGUAGCGAAAGCUACGCUAAUACCGCAUACGAUCUACGGAUGAAAGCGGGGGAUCGCAAGACCUCGCGCGAUUGGAGCGGCCGAUGGCAGAUUAGGUAGUUGGUGGGGUAAAGGCUCACCAAGCCGACGAUCUGUAGCUGGUCUGAGAGGACGACCAGCCACACUGGGACUGAGCAACGGCCCAGACUCCUACGGGAGGCAGCAGUGGGGAAUUUUGGACAAUGGGCGCAAGCCUGAUCCAGCCAUUCCGCGUGCAGGAUGAAGGCCCUCGGGUUGUAAACUGCUUUUGUACAGAACGAAAAGGCUCUGGUUAAUACCUGGGGCUCAUGACGGUACUGUAAGAAUAAGCACCGGCCAACUACGUGCCAGCCGCCGCGGUAA
This 500-nucleotide ribosomal RNA is filed under the name uncultured bacterium. RNAcentral describes it as "partial 16S ribosomal RNA". It matches the Rfam family "Bacterial small subunit ribosomal RNA", at positions 30 to 523 of the family's 1533-position model. The record is from RNAcentral.